This 344-nucleotide ribosomal RNA is filed under the name uncultured bacterium. RNAcentral describes it as "partial 16S ribosomal RNA". It matches the Rfam family "Bacterial small subunit ribosomal RNA", at positions 338 to 699 of the family's 1533-position model. The record is from RNAcentral.
CCUACGGGUGGCAGCAGUGGGGAAUAUUGCACAAUGGGGGAAACCCUGAUGCAGCGACGCCGCGUGAGUGAAGAAGUACUUCGGUAUGUAAAGCUCUAUCAGCAGGGAAGAAAAUGACGGUACCUGAGUAAGAAGCCCCGGCUAACUACGUGCCAGCAGCCGCGGUAAUUCGUAGGGGGCAAGCGUUAUCCGGAUUUACUGGGUUUAAAGGGAGCGUAGACGGUAGGAAAGGUCUGGAGUGAAAUACCGGGGCUAAACGUCGGAAGUGCUAUGGAAACGGGGCAGCUAGAGUGCAGGAGAGGUGAGUGGAAUGCGUGGUGUAGCGGUGAAAUGCGUAGAUAUUA